Molecule: ribosomal RNA, 323 nt
Filed under: Nudifila sp.
Lineage: Eukaryota; Cercozoa; Imbricatea
Description: SSU rRNA
Rfam family: Eukaryotic small subunit ribosomal RNA (bases 106-323)
Source: RNAcentral
GAUUUCUGGUUUGACAUGCCUGGCCCGCCGGGGUCACCUGUGUGAGUGCCGGUGCGCGUCUACCAUCCUUCUGUAGAACGGCCUUACCCUUCACUGGGCCGAGGUCGCGAUACAGAUCUUUUACUUUGAAAAAAUUAGAGUGUUUAAAGCAGGCUUACGCUGUGAAUACAUUAGCAUGGAAUAAUAAUUUAGGACUUUGGUCUCUAUUUUGUUGGUUUCUAGAGCUGAAGUAAUGAUUGAUAGGGAUAGUUGGGGGUGCUAGUAUUCAUCGGCCAGAGGUGAAAUUCUUGGAUUCGAUGAAGACUAACUUAUGCGAAAGCAUU